UACGGGGGGGAGCAAGCGUUGUUCGGAUUUACUGGGCGUAAAGGGCGCGUAGGCGGCGCAACAAGUCACUUGUGAAAUCUCCGGGCUUAACCCGGAGCGGCCAAGUGAUACUGUCGUGCUAGAGUGCGGAAGGGGCUACUGGAAUUCUCGGUGUAGCGGUGAAAUGCGUAGAUAUCGAGAGGAACACCUGCGGCGAAGGCGGGUAGCUGGGCCGACACUGACGCUGAGGGCGAAAGCGUGGGAGCGAACAGG
This 252-nucleotide ribosomal RNA is filed under the name uncultured bacterium. RNAcentral describes it as "partial 16S ribosomal RNA". It matches the Rfam family "Bacterial small subunit ribosomal RNA", at positions 524 to 776 of the family's 1533-position model. The record is from RNAcentral.